UACAGAGGCCCCAAGCGUUACUGAGAAUCACUGGGUUUAAAGGGUGCGUAGGUGGUCCGUUAAGUCUGUUGUGAAAGCCCUUGGCUCAACCAAGGAAUUGCUUCGGAUACUGGCGGACUUGAGGCUAGUAGAGGUCACUGGAACUGACGGUGGAGCGGUGAAAUGCGUAGAUAUCGUCAGGAACGCCGGUGGUGAAGACGGGUGACUGGGCUAGUUCUGACACUGAGGCACGAAAGCGUGGGGAGCGAACGGG
Molecule: ribosomal RNA, 253 nt
Filed under: uncultured bacterium
Lineage: Bacteria
Also listed under: 1 other name
Description: partial 16S ribosomal RNA
Rfam family: Bacterial small subunit ribosomal RNA
Source: RNAcentral